UUCCUUACAGAAUUCCUUUUAAAGGCACGAAGAGAGACAGGUAUAAAUUUAUAUUUUCGCUAUGGACUUGUUCUGCAGCAACAGGUGACUAAGGAGCGAUUGCAAACCUCUGUCACUUAACGCCAGAUCACUUGCCGUCAACCUUCGCUAUUAUACAGCAGUUGUGAUGUAUCUUGUACAGGUUGCCGUAAUUACCAGUGUGGCUAUCACACUUAAAGCUGCUACUCUUCAAGAUCUCCGGGACGCAUUAAAUACAAAUAAUCAGAAACUAUGGACCCGUUAUCGUUCUUUCGAAACCAGCACUAAGAGGUCAAAACAUACGUGCAUAUAUGCUGAAGUACGAAGAGCAGGACAGGAUCAAUACCUGUAUUUGAAGCAUUACGAAGUAGCAGGUACUUGGAAAAGCCAUCUGUUUUACGCAAAUUUAGUCGAAGCGCAAAGGCAGACACCAGGUCCCGUAAUGCGGGUAAGCAAACGGCAAGGACACAAAGGAAGAGACUACAUCCUGUAUUUCUGGGACAGUAUAGAACAUUGUGCUGUAUUUCUUCUGCCAAAGAAGGGUAGAACUGAAUGUGAAAUGCACGUCUGGGGAGACCACAUUCGAGCACACGUGCCUAAGUGCCAAAUGGCAUAUAAGAGGAUGUGUACAGAAGAAUGGCCCGUCUACACCCAGCAAUGUGGACAUCCCUGAUCGAAAAAAAAGUUGAAAAAAUAAA
Long non-coding RNA from Dermacentor silvarum, 716 nucleotides. RefSeq lists it as uncharacterized. Lineage: Eukaryota; Metazoa; Arthropoda; Arachnida; Ixodida; Ixodidae. The transcript is spliced from 5 exons. The record is from RefSeq and is a predicted model, not a curated record.